Molecule: ribosomal RNA, 459 nt
Filed under: uncultured bacterium
Lineage: Bacteria
Description: partial 16S ribosomal RNA
Rfam family: Bacterial small subunit ribosomal RNA
Source: RNAcentral
CCUACGUGAGGCAGCAGUGAGGAAUAUUGGUCAAUGGUCGGGAGCCUGAACCAGCCAAGCCGCGUGAGGGAUGAAGGUACUGCGUAUCGUAAACCUCUUUUGUCAGGGAACAAAGGCGGGUACGUGUCCCCGUCUGAGUGUACCCCGAGCAAAAGCAUCGGCUAACUCCGUUCCAGCAGCCGCGGUAAUACGGAGGAUGCGAGCGUUAUCCGGAUUUAGUGGGUUUAAGGGGUUCCCAGGCGGGCUUUUAAUGCAGCGGUAAAAGCCCGGGGCUCAACCCCGGCCCGCCGUUGAAACUGGGAGUCUCGAGUGGGAGAGAAGUAGGCGGAAUGCGCGGUGUAGCGGUGAAAUGCAUAGAUAUCGCGCAGAACUCCGAUUGCGAAGGCAGCAUGCCGGCGCCAGACUGACGCUGAGGCACGAAAGCGUGGGUAUCGAACAGGAUUAGAUACCCCAGUAGUC